RNAcentral lists this ribosomal RNA (253 nucleotides) under uncultured bacterium. Its description in RNAcentral is "partial 16S ribosomal RNA". It matches the Rfam family "Bacterial small subunit ribosomal RNA", at positions 524 to 776 of the family's 1533-position model. The record is from RNAcentral.
UACGGGGGGGGCAAGCGUUGUUCGGAAUUACUGGGCGUAAAGGGCUCGUAGGUGGCCACCUAAGUCAGACGUGAAAUCCCUCGGCUUAACCGGGGAACUGCGUCUGAUACUGGAUGGCUUGAGUUUGGGAGAGGGACGCGGAAUUCCAGGUGUAGCGGUGAAAUGCGUAGAUAUCUGGAGGAACACCGGUGGCGAAGGCGGCGUCCUGGACCAACACUGACACUGAGGAGCGAAAGCCAGGGGAGCAAACGGG